ACAGAGGGUGCAAACGUUGUUCGGAUUUACUGGGCGUAAAGCGUGCGCAGGCGGUUUUGUAAGCCAGAUGUGAAAUCCCCGGGCUUAACCUGGGAAUGGCAUUUGGGACUGCAAGGCUGGAGUGUGGCAGAGGAGACUGGAAUUCCUGGUGUAGCAGUGAAAUGCGUAGAUAUCAGGAGGAAUACCGAUGGCGAAGGCAGGUCUCUGGGCUGACACUGACGCUCAUGCACGAAAGCGUGGGGAGCAAACAGGA
This 253-nucleotide ribosomal RNA is filed under the name uncultured prokaryote. RNAcentral describes it as "partial 16S ribosomal RNA". It matches the Rfam family "Bacterial small subunit ribosomal RNA", at positions 525 to 777 of the family's 1533-position model. The record is from RNAcentral.